Small nucleolar RNA from Misgurnus anguillicaudatus (oriental weatherfish), 82 nucleotides. RefSeq annotates it as small nucleolar RNA SNORD34. Lineage: Eukaryota; Metazoa; Chordata; Actinopteri; Cypriniformes; Cobitidae. The record is from RefSeq and is a predicted model, not a curated record.
UGUUGUCGAUGAUGUUUUUCACAAAAUCCCUUACUUACCUUGUUUGAAUGUAAAAUGAGAACUAACUUAAUCUGAGACAUCU